Molecule: ribosomal RNA, 2904 nt
Filed under: Escherichia coli
Lineage: Bacteria; Pseudomonadati; Pseudomonadota; Gammaproteobacteria; Enterobacterales; Enterobacteriaceae
Description: 23S ribosomal RNA
Rfam family: Bacterial large subunit ribosomal RNA
Source: RNAcentral
GGUUAAGCGACUAAGCGUACACGGUGGAUGCCCUGGCAGUCAGAGGCGAUGAAGGACGUGCUAAUCUGCGAUAAGCGUCGGUAAGGUGAUAUGAACCGUUAUAACCGGCGAUUUCCGAAUGGGGAAACCCAGUGUGUUUCGACACACUAUCAUUAACUGAAUCCAUAGGUUAAUGAGGCGAACCGGGGGAACUGAAACAUCUAAGUACCCCGAGGAAAAGAAAUCAACCGAGAUUCCCCCAGUAGCGGCGAGCGAACGGGGAGGAGCCCAGAGCCUGAAUCAGUGUGUGUGUUAGUGGAAGCGUCUGGAAAGGCGCGCGAUACAGGGUGACAGCCCCGUACACAAAAAUGCACAUACUGUGAGCUCGAUGAGUAGGGCGGGACACGUGGUAUCCUGUCUGAAUAUGGGGGGACCAUCCUCCAAGGCUAAAUACUCCUGACUGACCGAUAGUGAACCAGUACCGUGAGGGAAAGGCGAAAAGAACCCCGGCGAGGGGAGUGAAAAAGAACCUGAAACCGUGUACGUACAAGCAGUGGGAGCCUCUUAAUGGGGUGACUGCGUACCUUUUGUAUAAUGGGUCAGCGACUUAUAUUCUGUAGCAAGGUUAACCGAAUAGGGGAGCCGAAGGGAAACCGAGUCUUAACUGGGCGUUAAGUUGCAGGGUAUAGACCCGAAACCCGGUGAUCUAGCCAUGGGCAGGUUGAAGGUUGGGUAACACUAACUGGAGGACCGAACCGACUAAUGUUGAAAAAUUAGCGGAUGACUUGUGGCUGGGGGUGAAAGGCCAAUCAAACCGGGAGAUAGCUGGUUCUCCCCGAAAGCUAUUUAGGUAGCGCCUCGUGAAUUCAUCUCCGGGGGUAGAGCACUGUUUCGGCAAGGGGGUCAUCCCGACUUACCAACCCGAUGCAAACUGCGAAUACCGGAGAAUGUUAUCACGGGAGACACACGGCGGGUGCUAACGUCCGUCGUGAAGAGGGAAACAACCCAGACCGCCAGCUAAGGUCCCAAAGUCAUGGUUAAGUGGGAAACGAUGUGGGAAGGCCCAGACAGCCAGGAUGUUGGCUUAGAAGCAGCCAUCAUUUAAAGAAAGCGUAAUAGCUCACUGGUCGAGUCGGCCUGCGCGGAAGAUGUAACGGGGCUAAACCAUGCACCGAAGCUGCGGCAGCGACACUAUGUGUUGUUGGGUAGGGGAGCGUUCUGUAAGCCUGUGAAGGUGUACUGUGAGGUAUGCUGGAGGUAUCAGAAGUGCGAAUGCUGACAUAAGUAACGAUAAAGCGGGUGAAAAGCCCGCUCGCCGGAAGACCAAGGGUUCCUGUCCAACGUUAAUCGGGGCAGGGUGAGUCGACCCCUAAGGCGAGGCCGAAAGGCGUAGUCGAUGGGAAACAGGUUAAUAUUCCUGUACUUGGUGUUACUGCGAAGGGGGGACGGAGAAGGCUAUGUUGGCCGGGCGACGGUUGUCCCGGUUUAAGCGUGUAGGCUGGUUUUCCAGGCAAAUCCGGAAAAUCAAGGCUGAGGCGUGAUGACGAGGCACUACGGUGCUGAAGCAACAAAUGCCCUGCUUCCAGGAAAAGCCUCUAAGCAUCAGGUAACAUCAAAUCGUACCCCAAACCGACACAGGUGGUCAGGUAGAGAAUACCAAGGCGCUUGAGAGAACUCGGGUGAAGGAACUAGGCAAAAUGGUGCCGUAACUUCGGGAGAAGGCACGCUGAUAUGUAGGUGAAGUCCCUCGCGGAUGGAGCUGAAAUCAGUCGAAGAUACCAGCUGGCUGCAACUGUUUAUUAAAAACACAGCACUGUGCAAACACGAAAGUGGACGUAUACGGUGUGACGCCUGCCCGGUGCCGGAAGGUUAAUUGAUGGGGUUAGCGGUAACGCGAAGCUCUUGAUCGAAGCCCCGGUAAACGGCGGCCGUAACUAUAACGGUCCUAAGGUAGCGAAAUUCCUUGUCGGGUAAGUUCCGACCUGCACGAAUGGCGUAAUGAUGGCCAGGCUGUCUCCACCCGAGACUCAGUGAAAUUGAACUCGCUGUGAAGAUGCAGUGUACCCGCGGCAAGACGGAAAGACCCCGUGAACCUUUACUAUAGCUUGACACUGAACAUUGAGCCUUGAUGUGUAGGAUAGGUGGGAGGCUUUGAAGUGUGGACGCCAGUCUGCAUGGAGCCGGCCUUGAAAUACCACCCUUUAAUGUUUGAUGUUCUAACGUUGGCCCCUGAUCGGGGUUGCGGACAGUGUCUGGUGGGUAGUUUGACUGGGGCGGUCUCCUCCUAAAGAGUAACGGAGGAGCACGAAGGUUGGCUAAUCCUGGUCGGACAUCAGGAGGUUAGUGCAAUGGCAUAAGCCAGCUUGACUGCGAGCGUGACGGCGCGAGCAGGUGCGAAAGCAGGUCAUAGUGAUCCGGUGGUUCUGAAUGGAAGGGCCAUCGCUCAACGGAUAAAAGGUACUCCGGGGAUAACAGGCUGAUACCGCCCAAGAGUUCAUAUCGACGGCGGUGUUUGGCACCUCGAUGUCGGCUCAUCACAUCCUGGGGCUGAAGUAGGUCCCAAGGGUAUGGCUGUUCGCCAUUUAAAGUGGUACGCGAGCUGGGUUUAGAACGUCGUGAGACAGUUCGGUCCCUAUCUGCCGUGGGCGCUGGAGAACUGAGGGGGGCUGCUCCUAGUACGAGAGGACCGGAGUGGACGCAUCACUGGUGUUCGGGUUGUCAUGCCAAUGGCACUGCCCGGUAGCUAAAUGCGGAAGAGAUAAGUGCUGAAAGCAUCUAAGCACGAAACUUGCCCCGAGAUGAGUUCUCCCUGACUCUUUAAGGGUCCUGAAGGAACGUUGAAGACGACGACGUUGAUAGGCCGGGUGUGUAAGCGCAGCGAUGCGUUGAGCUAACCGGUACUAAUGAACCGUGAGGCUUAACCUU